This 482-nucleotide ribosomal RNA is filed under the name uncultured bacterium. RNAcentral's name for it is "partial 16S ribosomal RNA". It matches the Rfam family "Bacterial small subunit ribosomal RNA", at positions 30 to 507 of the family's 1533-position model. The record is from RNAcentral.
AUUGAACGCUGGCGGCAUGCUUUACACAUGCAAGUCGAACGGUAACAGGCCGCAAGGUGCUGACGAGUGGCGAACGGGUGAGUAAUGCAUCGGAACGUGCCCAGUCGUGGGGGGUAACUACUCGAAAGAGUAGCUAAUACCGCAUACGAUCUAUGGAUGAAAGCGGGGGACCGUAAGGCCUCGCGCGAUUGGAGCGGCCGAUGUCAGAUUAGGUAGUUGGUGGGGUAAAGGCUCACCAAGCCAACGAUCUGUAGCUGGUCUGAGAGGACGGCCAGCCACACUGGGACUGAGACACGGCCCAGACUCCUACGGGAGGCAGCAGUGGGGAAUUUUGGACAAUGGGCGCAAGCCUGAUCCAGCAAUGCCGCGUGCAGGAAGAAGGCCUUCGGGUUGUAAACUGCUUUUGUACGGAACGAAACGGCUCUGGUUAAUACCCGGGGCUAAUGACGGUACCGUAAGAAUAAGCACCGGCUAACUACGUG